This 460-nucleotide ribosomal RNA is filed under the name uncultured bacterium. Its description in RNAcentral is "partial 16S ribosomal RNA". It matches the Rfam family "Bacterial small subunit ribosomal RNA", at positions 338 to 795 of the family's 1533-position model. The record is from RNAcentral.
CCUACGGGAGACAGCAGUGAGGAAUAUUGGUCAAUGGACGCGAGUCUGAACCAGCCAUGCCGCGUGAAGGAUGACGGCACAAUGAGUUGUAAACUUCUUUUGUCAGGGGAUAAAGUCCGGUACGAGUCCCGGGUUGAGGGUACCUGACGAAUAAGCAUCGGCUAACUCCGUGCCAGCAGCCGCGGUAAUACGGAGGAUCCGAGCGUUAUCCGGAUUUAUUGGGUUUAAAGGGUGCGUAGGCGGUUUGUUAAGUUAGAGGUGAAAUGUCGGGGCUCAACCCCGAAAGUGCCGUUGAAACUGGCGGACUAGAGAAUAGUAGAGGUAGGCGGAAUGCGUGGUGUAGCGGUGAAAUGCUUAGAGAUCAUACAGAACACCGAUUGCGAAGGCAGCUUACCGAACUAAAACUGACGCUGAGGCACGAAAGCGUGGGUAGCAAACAGGAUUAGAUACCCGUGUAGUC